GAGUUUGAUCCUGGCUCAGGACGAACGCUGGCGGCGCGCCUAACACAUGCAAGUCGAACGAAGUUAAGUUAGCUGAAGUUUUCGGAUGGAAGCAGACUUAGCUUAGUGGCGAACGGGUGAGUAACACGUGAGCAACCUGCCCUUCAGUGGGGGACAACAGUUGGAAACGACUGCUAAUACCGCAUAAGACCACAGUACCGCAUGGUAUCGUGAUCAAAGGAUUUAUUCGCUGAAGGAUGGACUCGCGCCUGAUUAGCUAGAUGGUGAGGUAAUGGCUCACCAUGGCAACGAUCAGUAGCCGGACUGAGAGGUCGAUCGGCCACAUUGGGACUGAGACACGGCCCAGACUCCUACGGGAGGCAGCAGUGGGAAUAUGCACAAUGGAGGAAACUCUGAUGCAGCGACGCCGCGUGAGGGAAGAAGGUUUCGGAUUGUAAACCUCUGUCUUCGAGGACGAAAAAAUAGACGGUACUCGAGGAGGAAGCCACGGCUAACUACGUGCCAGCCG
This 508-nucleotide ribosomal RNA is filed under the name bacterium enrichment culture clone ALO1_GLFRUDD03GF2UG. RNAcentral describes it as "bacterial SSU rRNA". It matches the Rfam family "Bacterial small subunit ribosomal RNA", at positions 9 to 514 of the family's 1533-position model. The record is from RNAcentral.